GCAUUGGUAGUUCAGCGGUGGCAUUCUCCCCACCUACGCGGGAGACCUGGGUUCAACUCCCGGCCAAAGCA
This 71-nucleotide transfer RNA is filed under the name Homo sapiens (human). RNAcentral's name for it is "tRNA-Arg-CCT-6-1". Lineage: Eukaryota; Metazoa; Chordata; Mammalia; Primates; Hominidae. The record is from RNAcentral.